RNAcentral lists this ribosomal RNA (843 nucleotides) under bacterium W15S26. RNAcentral describes it as "bacterial SSU rRNA". It matches the Rfam family "Bacterial small subunit ribosomal RNA", at positions 56 to 902 of the family's 1533-position model. The record is from RNAcentral.
UGCAAGUCGAGGGGUAGCAGGGAGCUUGCUCCGCUGACGACCGGCGAACGGGUGCGUAACGCGUAUAGAAUCUACCUCUUACUAAGGGAUAGCCCAGAGAAAUUUGGAUUAAUAUCUUAUAGUAUGUUAACUUGGCAUCAAGAUAACAUUAAAGGUUACGGUAAGAGAUGACUAUGCGUCCUAUUAGCUAGAUGGUGUGGUAACGGCACACCAUGGCAACGAUAGGUAGGGGCCCUGAGAGGGGGAUCCCCCACACUGGUACUGAGACACGGACCAGACUCCUACGGGAGGCAGCAGUGAGGAAUAUUGGACAAUGGAGGCAACUCUGAUCCAGCCAUGCCGCGUGCAGGAAGACUGCCCUAUGGGUUGUAAACUGCUUUUAUACAGGAAGAAACACUCUCACGUGUGAGAGCUUGACGGUACUGUAAGAAUAAGGAUCGGCUAACUCCGUGCCAGCAGCCGCGGUAAUACGGAGGAUCCAAGCGUUAUCCGGAAUCAUUGGGUUUAAAGGGUCCGUAGGUGGAUAAUUAAGUCAGAGGUGAAAUCCUGCAGCUCAACUGUAGAAUUGCCUUUGAUACUGGUUAUCUUGAGUUAUUAUGAAGUAGUUAGAAUAUGUAGUGUAGCGGUGAAAUGCAUAGAUAUUACAUAGAAUACCAAUUGCGAAGGCAGAUUACUAAUAAUAUACUGACACUGAUGGACGAAAGCGUGGGGAGCGAACAGGAUUAGAUACCCUGGUAGUCCACGCCGUAAACGAUGGUCACUAGCUGUUCGAACUUCGGUUUGAGUGGCUAAGCGAAAGUGAUAAGUGACCCACCUGGGGAGUACGUUCGCAGAAUGAAACUC